UACAGAGGGGGCAAGCGUUGUUCGGAAUUACUGGGCGUAAAGCGUGCGUAGGCGGCCAACUAAGUCAGACGUGAAAUCCCUCGGCUUAACCGGGGAACUGCGUCUGAUACUGGAUGGCUUGAGUUUGGGAGAGGGAUGCGGAAUUCCAGGUGUAGCGGUGAAAUGCGUAGAUAUCUGGAGGAACACCGGUGGCGAAGGCGGCAUCCUGGACCAACACUGACGCUGAUGAGCGAAAGCCAGGGGAGCAAACGGG
RNAcentral lists this ribosomal RNA (253 nucleotides) under uncultured bacterium. RNAcentral's name for it is "partial 16S ribosomal RNA". It matches the Rfam family "Bacterial small subunit ribosomal RNA", at positions 524 to 776 of the family's 1533-position model. The record is from RNAcentral.